AACGGCCGUACCAUGCUGAAUAUACCGGUUCUCGUUAGAUCACCGAAGUCAAGCAUCAUUGGGCACGGUCAGUAUUUGGGUGGGUGACCACCUGGGAACACUGCGUGCCGUU
RNAcentral lists this ribosomal RNA (112 nucleotides) under Caerostris darwini. The record is from RNAcentral. Lineage: Eukaryota; Metazoa; Arthropoda; Arachnida; Araneae; Araneidae.